AAGCACUGGGGAUUCUGAGGAACCUCUGAGGAGCACCCUGCCUUUACUUGCAGUUCUUCCAGAGAGAUGUUGGAGCUGACAACUGGAGACAAUAUGGCUUGGUGACAACAUCAUAAAAGGAUUGAUGAUAAUAUUGAAGAGGAAGGAGCUAGGAGUGAGUUGCUAAGUGACAGAAAAAGAGCAAGUGGAAGUUUCUUAGAAGUAGAGAAGGAAACAAGAAAGCAGAAAGUGAGAAGGUAGGAGAAUUGAAGCAAAGCAUUGCUAGAGAAGGAUGGUUCAGAGAGAACUGUCUAAUUAUAGUAUGUUUAUAUUGAUGACAAUUUAAGCAUUUGAAGCACAGCCUUAUGACAUUUUAUUUGGAUAAGUUGGGCUGGUACGCACCAUGGGAAAGCACGGAAUCUAAAGAAGUUGGAAUGG
This 417-nucleotide long non-coding RNA is filed under the name Homo sapiens (human). Its description in RNAcentral is "HSALNT0184636". Lineage: Eukaryota; Metazoa; Chordata; Mammalia; Primates; Hominidae. The record is from RNAcentral.